CUACGGGGUGCAGCAGUGAGGAAUAUUGCACAAUGGGGGGAACCCUGAUGCAGCAACGCCGCGUGGAGGAUGACGCAUUUCGGUGUGUAAACUCCUUUUAUAUGUCAAGAAAACGACGGUAGCAUAUGAAUAAGCACCGGCUAACUCCGUGCCAGCAGCCGCGGUAAUAUGGAGGGUGCAAGCGUUACUCGGAAUCACUGGGCGUAAAGGACGCGUAGGCGGGUUGGAAAGUCAGGUGUGAAAUCCUACAGCUUAACUGUAGAACUGCACUUGAAACUUCUAAUCUAGAGUAUGGGAGGGGGAGAUGGAAUUAGUGGUGUAGGGGUAAAAUCCGUAGAUAUCACUAGGAAUACCUAAAGCGAAGGCGAUCUCCUGGAACAUUACUGACGCUAAGGCGUGAAAGCGUGGGGAGCAAACAGGAUUAGAUACCCGGGUAGUC
Molecule: ribosomal RNA, 439 nt
Filed under: uncultured bacterium
Lineage: Bacteria
Description: partial 16S ribosomal RNA
Rfam family: Bacterial small subunit ribosomal RNA
Source: RNAcentral